Molecule: non-coding RNA, 457 nt
Filed under: Ixodes scapularis (black-legged tick)
Lineage: Eukaryota; Metazoa; Arthropoda; Arachnida; Ixodida; Ixodidae
Description: Eukaryotic small subunit ribosomal RNA
Rfam family: Eukaryotic small subunit ribosomal RNA
Source: Rfam by way of RNAcentral
UAAAUAGGUGCGUGGUUCUCUGCACCCUGCAAACUUUCGUAGGUGGACAAAGCGGCUCCUAGCCGCACGAAACAGAGCAUUAACAGGUCUGUGAUGCCGUUAGAUGUCCGGGGCCGAACGCGCUCUACACUGAAGGAAGCAGCGUGUUUUAUCCCUGUCUGUAAAGACUGGGCAACCUGUGGAACCUCCUUCGUGAUCGGGAUAGGGGCUUGCAAUUGUUCCCCUUGAACGAGGAAUUUCUAUUCAGCGCGAGUCAUAGGAUUGAUUACGUUCCUGCACUUUGUACACACAGCCUGUCGCUACUACCGAUUGAAUGAUUUAGUGAGGUCUUCGGACCGAUACACGGAGAGGCCUUUCGGUUGCGCCGGUGUGUUGGAAAGAUGACAAAAGUUGAUCAUUUAGAGGAAGAAAAAGUCGUAGCAAGGAUUUCGCAGGUGAACCUGCGGAAGGACCAUUA